This 81-nucleotide transfer RNA is filed under the name Salinispora tropica CNB-440. Its description in RNAcentral is "tRNA-Und (NNN) (tRNA-Und-NNN-2-1)". The record is from RNAcentral. Lineage: Bacteria; Bacillati; Actinomycetota; Actinomycetes; Micromonosporales; Micromonosporaceae.
GCGGGCGUUUCGGGCAUCACGACCCGAUGAGCACGCUCCCCCAGACUGACGGUGCGGGUUCGACUCCCGUCGCCCGCUCCA